UAAUAUUCAAGAAUCUCUCACCCUUUUUCAAAUCUCCUAGUGACCUGAAGACCCUACAAUGAAUUGCAAAUAUGAAUAGGACUUUCAGUAUCCAAUACCUAGGUCAUUGUAUUUAUAAGAGAGAAGUUACAAGGUGUUAUCACAUAAGUACCUUGUCCAGUAACUGAUUGCUUCUUCUUCUUUGGCCUGUUCGGGUCAAAAGAAGUGAUAUACUGAGGAUAAUUUCUCUUCCAGUGAUCUUGCUUCUUG
Molecule: long non-coding RNA, 249 nt
Filed under: Elaeis guineensis (African oil palm)
Lineage: Eukaryota; Viridiplantae; Streptophyta; Magnoliopsida; Arecales; Arecaceae
Description: long non-coding RNA (EGUI_LNC039612)
Source: RNAcentral